Long non-coding RNA from Alosa sapidissima (American shad), 277 nucleotides. RefSeq lists it as uncharacterized. NCBI's taxonomy places the organism in Eukaryota, Metazoa, Chordata, Actinopteri, Clupeiformes, Clupeidae. The record is from RefSeq and is a predicted model, not a curated record. The transcript has 3 exons.
UGGAUAAUGUCCUUUAAUGUAAGAUGUGUUUAUACGUAUUUUAUACACUCCAUGGUUUAUACUCAUUGAAAGAACAUGAAGGGAAGGGAAACGAGGCGAUUGUGACUUUAUGGGAGCAGUUUGUGGUGGGUUAUCAGCUGUUAGCUGUCAGACGGUCAGCUGUUGUGUGACCACUGGGCGGCUGAGCUGCCCGAAUCGGUCAUAAAGAUGGCGGCGUAAAGCUACAGUGACGUCAUGAGACACAAACGAAUAGGCUGUGUUUGGCUAGGCUAACAGU